CUCAAACUAAGUGAAGGAAAGUAAUCAAACAUUUGCAUGCUCAGGGCGUUAAGAGGACCUCUUCUCGAGGACCUUGCCAAUCACAUCUCGUGAGGCUUGGUACUAGUUCUCGGGGAUUUCAUCUUGAUAACCCCCUUAACCCGAGGACUCUAUGACCAACGUGAUGAGCAGUCACGUUGAGUCUCCGUGAAGAAUACCUCAAGGAUAUGCAAAAAGUGACCACAUCACCGGUAAAGAAAGAUUGAUAAAUUGGUGGUCUCUUCCCGGACGAUGCAAUUGGAGGUCUCGCCACAAGAAGGAACUCAUCUCUCUGAUUUGAAUUAAAAAAAUACAGCUCUCGUCCUCAACGAAGCAAUUGUAAAUCAACAAAAAUCCAUAGCCCAAACUUGGAAUAAAAGCCACCAACAACCCACAAUUGAGGGGAUCGAGCAAUGUAGGAAAAUCGGACCAAUAUAUUGUAGAUUUUUUCUUCGAGGAAGUGGACUGUGCACAAAUGGGUCACCUUAAUUUGUGGUCUAGUCACCUGCUAUCAAUGGAAGGUUCCAUGGGAUGAAAUGUUGGCGAAGUGUGUGUGGGAAGAAUUUGGAAUUUCAGCCGUGUGGCAGCCGUGAAUGCUGGUCAUGAAGUGUUGUGG
RNAcentral lists this long non-coding RNA (634 nucleotides) under Olea europaea subsp. europaea. Lineage: Eukaryota; Viridiplantae; Streptophyta; Magnoliopsida; Lamiales; Oleaceae. The record is from RNAcentral.